GGGGCACGGCGUCGGGCGCAGGGCACGGCGCAGGGCACGGCGUGGGCGGUGUCGACGCCCUGACGGUGACGGGGGUGAAGGCACCACGGGCUCCCGCCCAGGCCCAGACAUGCCGGUCCUUGUGAGGCAGAAACUUGAGAGGGAGCCAUCCUCUCCCUGAAGCCUCGCGGUGGAACAGCUGUCUGACCCAUUCAAAGGGAAGGAUGAAAUCUCUGCGCAGGCACGCGAUGUGAAUGGAAGAGGCCCGUCACUAUGCAAACAGUACGGCACUCUGAACACACACUAAAGACAGCUCUCAUCUCAAAGAACCCAGCGCUUGUGUCACAGUAUGAGAAGUUAGAUGCUGGGGAAAAGCGUCUGAUGGACGAAGCCUUCCGGCCAGACAGUGAUCUCUUUGGACCCAUUACUUUGCAUUCGCAGUCAGACUGGAUAACCUCCCAUCCUGAGGCUCCCCAAGACUUUGAAGAGUUUUUCAAUGAUCUUUACAGAAAGACACCUUCUCCACAGAAGCACAG
Physeter macrocephalus (sperm whale) is the source of this 515-nucleotide long non-coding RNA. RefSeq lists it as uncharacterized. The transcript has 4 exons. NCBI's taxonomy places the organism in Eukaryota, Metazoa, Chordata, Mammalia, Artiodactyla, Physeteridae. The record is from RefSeq and is a predicted model, not a curated record.